Molecule: small RNA, 106 nt
Filed under: Marmota monax (woodchuck)
Lineage: Eukaryota; Metazoa; Chordata; Mammalia; Rodentia; Sciuridae
Source: RNAcentral
GCUGGGCACAGUGGGCCUGCCUGUAAUCCCAGCAACUUGGAAGGCUGAGGCAGGAGGAUCACGAGUUCGAAACCAGCCUCAGCAACUUAGUGAGACCCUAUCUCAA